CGAGAGAUUGGUUGGACAGAUGACUCGCCAACCCGGUCAGGUCCGGAAGGAAGCAGCCGUAACGGGAUAUUCUGGGUCAAUUCAGUCUCUCACCA
Molecule: signal recognition particle RNA, 95 nt
Filed under: Kordiimonas sp.
Lineage: Bacteria; Pseudomonadati; Pseudomonadota; Alphaproteobacteria; Kordiimonadales; Kordiimonadaceae
Description: signal recognition particle sRNA small type
Rfam family: Bacterial small signal recognition particle RNA
About the family: The signal recognition particle (SRP) is a universally conserved ribonucleoprotein involved in the co-translational targeting of proteins to membranes. Archaeal SRP consists of a 7S RNA and homologues of the eukaryotic SRP19 and SRP54 proteins.
Source: RNAcentral